CCGUAACUAUAACGGUCCUAAGGUAGCGAAAUUCCUUGUCGGGUAAGUUCCGACCUGCACGAAUGGCAUAAUGAUGGCGGCGCUGUCUCCAGCAGAGGCUCAGUGAAAUCGAAAUCGCUGUGAAGAUGCAGUGUACCCGCGGCUAGACGGAAAGACCCCGUGAACCUUUACUGCAGCUUGACACUGAACUUUGACCUUACUUGUGUAGGAUAGGUGGGAGGCUUUGAAGCUGGAACGCUAGUUCCAGUGGAGCCGUCCUUGAAAUACCACCCUGGUAAUGUUGAGGUUCUAACUCUGUCCCGUGAUCCGGGACGAGGACCGUGUCUGGUGGGUAGUUUGACUGGGGCGGUCUCCUCCUAAAGAGUAACGGAGGAGUACGAAGGUGCGCUCAGCGUGGUCGGAAAUCACGCGUAGAGUAUAAAGGCAAAAGCGCGCUUAACUGCGAGACCCACAAGUCGAGCAGGUACGAAAGUAGGUCUUAGUGAUCCGGUGGUUCUGUAUGGAAGGGCCAUCGCUCAACGGAUAAAAGGUACUCUGGGGAUAACAGGCUGAUACCGCCCAAGAGUUCAUAUCGACGGCGGUGUUUGGCACCUCGAUGUCGGCUCAUCUCAUCCUGGGGCUGAAGCAGGUCCCAAGGGUAUGGCUGUUCGCCAUUUAAAGAGGUACGCGAGCUGGGUUUAGAACGUCGUGAGACAGUUCGGUCCCUAUCUACCGUGGGCGCUGGAAAUUUGAGAGGAUCUGCUCCUAGUACGAGAGGACCAGAGUGGACGAACCUCUGGUGUACCGGUUGUGACGCCAGUCGCAUCGCCGGGUAGCUAUGUUCGGAAGGGAUAACCGCUGAAAGCAUCUAAGCGGGAAGCCUACCUCAAGAUAAGAUUUCCCUAGGACUUUAUGUCCUCUAAAGAGCCGUUCGAGACUAGGACGUUGAUAGGUUGGAUGUGGAAGCAUAGUGAUAUGUGAAGCUGACCAAUACUAAUUGCUCGUGAGGCUUGACUAUACAACACCCAAGCAGUUG
This 1015-nucleotide ribosomal RNA is filed under the name Acinetobacter baumannii. RNAcentral describes it as "partial 23S ribosomal RNA". It matches the Rfam family "Bacterial large subunit ribosomal RNA", at positions 1934 to 2925 of the family's 2925-position model. Lineage: Bacteria; Pseudomonadati; Pseudomonadota; Gammaproteobacteria; Moraxellales; Moraxellaceae. The record is from RNAcentral.